UCCGGUUUGACACCGGCAGUCUCGCUAGAGUCCUCGCCAUUACGCGUUAGCAACUAGCGACAGGGGUUGCGCUCGUUAAGGGACUUAACCCGACACUUCACAGCACGAGCUGACGACAGCCAUGCAGCACCUGUGCAUGUUCCACUCUUGCGAGUGUCAUUCCUGUUUCCAGAAACUAAUCCAUGCAUGUCAAACCCAGGUAAGGUUCUUCGCGUUGCUUCGAAUUAAGCAACAUGCUCCACCGCUUGUGUGAGCCCCCGUCAAUUCCUUUGAGUUUUAAUCUUGCGACCGUACUUCCCAGGCGGCGCACUUAUCAAUUUCUCUACGACCGGUACCGGGUCAGACCGGCACCGAUCCAGUGCGCAUCGUUUACAGCGUGGACUAC
This 385-nucleotide unclassified non-coding RNA is filed under the name uncultured Phycisphaeraceae bacterium. RNAcentral's name for it is "contains 16S-23S intergenic spacer region". Lineage: Bacteria; Pseudomonadati; Planctomycetota; Phycisphaerae; Phycisphaerales; Phycisphaeraceae. The record is from RNAcentral.